UUUUGUACCCUUCCAGUUGGAAGCAUUUUGAUCUCCGAAUUCGAAGAUCUUCAACAUUUAUUCAUUUUCCACAUUAAAUACGUGCUCCGCAUACCAUACAAAAAUUAUCGCUAGUACUUGCAAAAUUAAUCCAUAAUUGAGAAAAAAAUCAGUUCAUAAUGAAAAAGUAUUAUAACAGAGACAGAAUAUAUAAAGCCAGUUUCAGUCUGGAAACUUUCAGUUCUGGCCUAACCUGUGUAAUACUAGACAAAUGGCUUCCCCUCCGUUCCUUCCUCUUACAAAUUGCUUGCUGUACCUGUGUCAUCUCUUGAGGCCAAGGACUGGCCUUCUCUUUGUAUAAUGUGAUUUACAGCUGCUCCAACACAAAAUCACAGCAACGGUUCAGAGCUCUGCUCUACCAAACACCCUAAUCCCAGUCUUUACUGGUACUUCUAAUGGCAUCCCUGCUGUUGUGUAACAAUAGUCCAGUCAAAAGAACUUGUCCCAUUGCUUUGAACCUACUGUACACACAUCUAUAUACAUACGUAAUGAACUUCCUUCGUGUUUUGGGGUUUUUACCCUCCAGUCACAUCUCAGAUGCUGGCAAUGAAGCCUAAUUUGUUCUGUUCUCAGCAAAAGGGAAUGGUUUUACAUCCAUUAUUCCCAAAUAUUUCCAAUAUUAUUCCCAAAGUAAAGCAUCACCUAAGAAACUACGAAUACAGCACUGCCUGCUUGGUUUUGGUAUAACACACUGAUAACAGUGGUCUUGCCAGGGCUCUAUAAGCAGAAUAUAUGGAGAAUACAGAGCUCAACACGAGAAUACUCUCUUAUAAAGAUGUGGGAACAGGAGACAAGAAACCAUAAUCUGCCUGGGAUUCUGCCCAGACACAACCCACCACAGGAGAAUCCAGCCUGUGAUCACACUCAGACCCUACGCUGCUCCAGGACUGACCUGACGUUCACACUUUUCCAGUCUAAAAGUUUCCCACAGACAGUUCAUAAACUCACUGUGCAAACACCUAAAUUGCAUUGCCCCCCCCGCCUUCCUGCAUUAUUCUGGCACACUGCUCUGUACCUUCCCAGAGGGGAGGAAAAGUCAUUUCUCUCCAGAGCAAGCCUCUGAGGACAGCAGGAUCCCAAAAGCCACCAACCCCAGCCCUUUCAAACCAGGGCUUUUGGUACUCAGCCUCACACAAACCCUGUGUGUGAGGGUUUGUGUGAGGGCAGUUUUCCCAACCGCCUGUUGUGAAACCCGGGCCACAGGAGCCCUCCAGCUGAGAAGGACACAGGCUGAAGACCCACCUGAGGAGGGCUGGUGGAAACAAGCCUGGCACACGACAUUGCCCUUCACCCUUCCUUCACCCAUUCGGUGGGCGCGCUCCCGCACAACAUUGGGAUUUAACCGACUGACACCGCCAAUGAAAUAAAACGUUUAGCUGAAAAUUCCCAUCCGGUUGCUUGUCAGCGCUGAUUUCCAACGGCGAGGUGGCGGGCUUGCAUCAGCCUCUCCGCCCGAACGGAAGACUCGGGGAGCGCCACAGCGUGCCCACAAAGGGGCUGGUGUGAGGAAAAGUGCAAACCUCACACACCCUCUGUUAGUUUUCUCACCUCCGCACACAAUAAGAGCGGACUGAACCGAGCACCUCGGUGACCCACUAGAUCAACCUCUUUCUCUCCCCACCCGCAGCACGGGCAGCUCCUGCCCCUCUCCCUCUCUCCCCGGGCAGGACACGGACACACAGACAAAAAAGACAGGAAGGGGGGAAGGAAAAAAAAAAAAAAAAAAAGAAAAAAGAAAAAAAAAAAGAGCACCCUCACACACACAGAACCCACCACCCCCCUCCGCAGAACGCGCCGGCAGCCCCACAGGACCCCCCUCCCAAGGUGGCUCUCACCUCGGGGGGACACGGCCCCGGCACAGCCGGUGGCGGGGGGAGCCGCCUCUCGUCUUCUCUCCGCCAGUGCCAGACGCGGCGAAGCGAGGCGAGAGGAGGCUGCGGCGUGGCCCGGCGCCGCGGCACACUUGCACUUUUUCUCGGUGGUCUUUCUUUGCGGCACGGUGCGCCCAGCCCCGCCGCACGGAGCGGAGCCGAGCCGUGCUGCCUCCGCCUGCCUCGCCGGCACUCCUCCCUGCCU
Strigops habroptila (Kakapo) is the source of this 2115-nucleotide long non-coding RNA. The record is from Ensembl. NCBI's taxonomy places the organism in Eukaryota, Metazoa, Chordata, Aves, Psittaciformes, Psittacidae.